GGAAAAGAAAAUAAAUAAUGAUUUCUUUAGUAGCGGCGAGCGAACGAGAAAGAGCCCAAACCAUUUUAAAUGGGGUCAUAGGACAGACUACAUAGAGUUACAAAAUUUAAUAAUAGCAGAAGCUUUUGGGAAGAAGCGGCACAGAAGGUGAUACCCCUGUAUGCGAAAUUAUUAAAUCUCUUGACUGUAUCCUGAGUAGGGCGGGGCACGUGAAACCCUGUCUGAAUUUGCCGGGACCACCCGGUAAGGCUAAAUACUAACCAGACACCGAUAGCGAACUAGUACCGUGAGGGAAAGGUGAAAAGAACCCCGAGAGGGGAGUGAAAUAGACUCUGAAACCACUUACUUACAAUUAGUCAGAGCCCGUUAAUGGGUGAUGGCGUACAUCUUGCAGUAUGGACCGGCGAGUUACUUUAGCAUGCAAGGUUAAGCAGAUAAAAGCGGAGCCGUAGAGAAAUCGAGUCUUAAUAGGGCGAUUAGUAUGCUUGAGUACACCCGAAACCAGGUGACCUAUUCAUGAGCAGACUGAAACUUAGCUAACCCUAAGUGGAGGGUCGAACCGUAGUACACUGAUACGUGCCCGGAUGACUUGUGAAUAGCGGAGAAAUUCCAAUCGAACUUGGAGAUAGCUGGUUCUCCUCGAAAUAGCUUUAGGGCUAGCGUGUAGUGUUAAAUAAUGGUGGUAAAGCACUGAAUAUGGAAUGGCCUCGCCUAGGGGUACUGACUAUAAUCAAACUCUGAAUACCGUUAUGAAUUGCUAUGCAGUCGGAACCGGGGUGCUAACGUCCCGGCUCGCGAGGGAAACAACCCAGAUCGUCAGCUAAGGUCCCAAAAUCGUGUUAAGUCAGAAAGGUUGUGAGGUUUCAUAAACAACUAGGAAGUUGGCUUAGAAGCAGCCAUCUUUUAAAGAGUGCGUAAUAGCUCACUAGUCAAGAGACCUUGCGCCGACAAUGUAACGGGAGUAAAACACGAUACCGAAGCUACGGGUACAUUUAUGUACGUUAGAGGAGCGUUCUUAGGGCAAUGAAGCUAGACUGUAAAGACUAGUGGAGCGCUAAGAAGUGAGAAUGCCGGUAUGAGUAACGAUUCGUAGUGAGAAUCUACGACGCCUAUUGGGGAAGGUUUCCUGGGCAAGGUUCGUCCACCCAGGGUUAGUCAGGACCUAAGGCGAGGCUGAAAAGCGUAGUCGAUGGACAACAGGUUAAUAUUCCUGUACUUUCUUUAAUUGUGAUGGAGUGACGGAGAAGGAUAAGCAUACCUAUUAUUGGAUUUAGGGGUAAGUAGUUACUGGUGAUUGUAGGCAAAUCCGCAAUCUAUAACCGGGAGCUAUGAUGCAUAGGACAAUUGUCUGAAUUUGCCAAUUCCAUGCUUCCUAGAAAAGCUUCUAAACUUAAUGUUAUUGAAACCUGUACCGAGAACGGACACACGUCCCCAAGAUGAGUAUUCUAAGGCGAGCGAGAAAACUAGUGUUAAGGAACUCUGCAAAAUGACCCCGUAAGUUCGCAAGAAGGGGCGCCUAUGGUAACACAUAGGCCACAGUAAAUUAUGAGGGGCAACUGUUUAUCAAAAACACAACUCUCUGCUAAACCGCAAGGUGAUGUAUAGGGGGUGAAGCCUGCCCAGUGCCCGAAGGUUAAGUGGAUGCGUUAGCUUAUGCGAAGCGUUGAAAUGAAGCCCGGGUGAACGGCGGCCGUAACUAUAACGGUCCUAAGGUAGCGAAAUUCCU
RNAcentral lists this ribosomal RNA (1726 nucleotides) under Geobacillus sp. PK12. Its description in RNAcentral is "partial 23S ribosomal RNA". It matches the Rfam family "Bacterial large subunit ribosomal RNA", at positions 215 to 1969 of the family's 2925-position model. The record is from RNAcentral. Lineage: Bacteria; Bacillati; Bacillota; Bacilli; Caryophanales; Anoxybacillaceae.